GAUGAACGCUGGCGGCAGGCCUAACACAUGCAAGUCGAGCGGAGCGGCGGACGGGUGAGUAAUGCCUAGGAAUCUGCCUGAUAGUGGGGGAUAACGUCCGGAAAAGGGAGCUAAUACCGCAUACUAUCAGAUGAGUCUCGGUCUGAUUAGCUAGUUGGUGGGGUAAAGGCCUACAAAGGCGACGAUCCGUAACUGGUCUGAGAGGAUGAUCAGUCACACUGGAACUGAGACACGGUCCAGACUCCUACGGGAGGCAGCAGUGGGGAAUAUUGGACAAUGGGCGAAAGCCUGAUCCAGCCAUGCCGCGUGUGUGAAGAAGGUCUUCGGGUUGUAAAGUACUUUCAGCGAGGAGGCGUUACUCGCAGAAGAAGCACCGGCUAACUCCGUGCCAGCAGCCGCGGUAAUAC
RNAcentral lists this ribosomal RNA (407 nucleotides) under uncultured bacterium. RNAcentral's name for it is "partial 16S ribosomal RNA". It matches the Rfam family "Bacterial small subunit ribosomal RNA", at positions 28 to 526 of the family's 1533-position model. The record is from RNAcentral.